GGGGUCAUAGCUCAGAUGGGAGAGCACCUGCUUUGCAAGCAGGGGGUCGGCGGUUCGAUCCCGCCUGGCUCCACCA
Molecule: transfer RNA, 76 nt
Filed under: Candidatus Nitrosoglobus terrae
Lineage: Bacteria; Pseudomonadati; Pseudomonadota; Gammaproteobacteria; Chromatiales; Chromatiaceae
Description: tRNA-Ala
Rfam family: tRNA
About the family: Transfer RNA (tRNA) molecules are approximately 80 nucleotides in length. Their secondary structure includes four short double-helical elements and three loops (D, anti-codon, and T loops).
Source: RNAcentral